GGCAGCAGUGGGGGAUAUUGCACAAUGGGGGAAACCCUGAUGCAGCGACGCCGCGUGGAGGAAGAAGGUUUUCGGAUUGUAAACUCCUGUCGUUAGGGACGAUAAUGACGGUACCUAACAAG
RNAcentral lists this ribosomal RNA (122 nucleotides) under uncultured bacterium. RNAcentral's name for it is "partial 16S ribosomal RNA". It matches the Rfam family "Bacterial small subunit ribosomal RNA", at positions 347 to 486 of the family's 1533-position model. The record is from RNAcentral.